Molecule: ribosomal RNA, 550 nt
Rfam family: 5.8S ribosomal RNA (bases 194-347)
CAUGUGCACGCCUGGCACCAUUUUUAACCACCUGUGCACCCUUUGUAGACCUGGAUACCUCUCGGGGAAACUCGGUUUGAGAACUGCCGCGCGAAAGCCUGCUUUUCUUGCAUUUCCGGUCUAUGUCUUUAUAUAAACCCACAAGAAUGUAACAGAAUGUCAUUAAUGGCCUUUGUGCCUUUAAAUAAAAUACAACUUUCAACAACGGAUCUCUUGGCUCUCGCAUCGAUGAAGAACGCAGCGAAAUGCGAUAAGUAAUGUGAAUUGCAGAAUUCAGUGAAUCAUCGAAUCUUUGAACGCACCUUGCGCUCCUUGGUAUUCCGAGGAGCAUGCCUGUUUGAGUGUCAUUAAAUUCUCAACCUUUCUAGCCUUUUACUGGCGGGACCAAGGCUUGGAUGUGGGGGCUGCGGGCUUCUCAGAAGUCGGCUCUCCUUAAAUGCAUUAGCGAAACAUUUGCUGACCAUCUCUGGUGUGAUAAUUAUCUGCGCCACUGAGAAGCAGCUGAUUUGGCUUCUAACCGUCCUUCACCGGACAGCUCUUGACAUUUGAC